Molecule: ribosomal RNA, 393 nt
Filed under: uncultured bacterium
Lineage: Bacteria
Description: partial 16S ribosomal RNA
Rfam family: Bacterial small subunit ribosomal RNA
Source: RNAcentral
AUACGGAGGAUCCGAGCGUUAUCCGGAUUUAUUGGGUUUAAAGGGAGCGUAGGUGGACAGUUAAGUCAGUUGUGAAAGUUUGCGGCUCAACCGUAAAAUUGCAGUUGAUACUGGCUGUCUUGAGUACAGUAGAGGUGGGCGGAAUUUGUGGUGUAGCGGUGAAAUGCUUAGAUAUCCCGAAGAACUCCGAUUGCGAAGGCAGCUCACUGGACUGCAACUGACACUGAUGCUCGAAAGUGUGGGUAUCAAACAGGAUUAGAUACCCUGGUAGUCCACACAGUAAACGAUGAAUACUCGCUGUUUGCGAUAUACAGUAAGCGGCCAAGCGAAAGCAUUAAGUAUUCCACCUGGGGAGUACGCCGGCAACGGUGAAACUCAAAUGAAUUGACGGGG